RNAcentral lists this ribosomal RNA (460 nucleotides) under uncultured bacterium. Its description in RNAcentral is "partial 16S ribosomal RNA". It matches the Rfam family "Bacterial small subunit ribosomal RNA", at positions 338 to 795 of the family's 1533-position model. The record is from RNAcentral.
CCUACGGGAGGCAGCAGUGAGGACUAUUGGUCAAUGGACGAGAGUCUGAACCAGCCAAGUAGCGUGAAGGAUGACUGCCCUAUGGGUUGUAAACUUCUUUUAUAAAGGAAUAAAACGUUGCACGUGUGCCAUUUUGUAUGUACCUUAUGAAUAAGGAUCGGCUAACUCCGUGCCAGCAGCCGCGGUAAUACGGCGGAUCCGCGCGUUAUCCGGUUUUAUUGGGUUUAAAGGGAGCGUAGAUGGGUUGUUAAGUCAGUUGUGAAAGUUUGCGGCUCAACCGUAAAAUUGCAAUUGAUACUGGCAGUCUUGAGUACAGUUGAGGUAGGCGGAAUUCGUGGUGUAGCGGUGAAAUGCUUAGAUAUCACGAAGAACCCCGAUUGCGAAGGCAGCUUACUAAACUGCGACUGACAUUGAUGCUCGAAAGUGUGGGUAUCAAACAGGAUUAGAUACCCGGGUAGUC